Oncorhynchus kisutch (coho salmon) is the source of this 142-nucleotide small nuclear RNA. Its record names the gene U1. It matches the Rfam family "U1 spliceosomal RNA". Rfam says of the family: U1 is a small nuclear RNA (snRNA) component of the spliceosome (involved in pre-mRNA splicing). The record is from Ensembl. Lineage: Eukaryota; Metazoa; Chordata; Actinopteri; Salmoniformes; Salmonidae.
GUACUGAAAUCAGUAGCCCUUCACCGACACCUGGAAUCAGCAAUUGCACUCCGGCUGGACUGACCACUACGAAUUUCCCAAAUGUGGAAAUCUCAAUUGAAUCAUUUCUGGUAGUGUGGGACUGCGUUCGCGCUCUCCCCUG